CGGUUUAACACCGGCAGUCUCACCAGAGUCCUCAGCAUUACCUGUUAGCAACUGGCGAUAGGGGUUUCGCUCGUUAAGGGACUUAACCCGACACUUCACAGCACGAGCUGACGACAGCCAUGCAGCACCUGUGUAUGUUCCACUACAAGAGUGUCAUCCGCCUUUCAGCGGACUAAUCCAUACAUGUCAAACCCAGGAUAAGGUUCUUCGCGUUGCUUCGAAUUAAGCCACAUGCUCCACCGCUUGUGUGAGCCCCCGUCAAUUCCUUUGAGUUUUAGCCUUGCGACCGUACUCCCCAGGCGGUGCACUCAACGUUUUUACUUCGACCGAGAAUGGUGUCAGAACCUCCUCGAUCUAGUGCACAUCGUUUACAGCGUGGACUA
RNAcentral lists this unclassified non-coding RNA (383 nucleotides) under uncultured Phycisphaeraceae bacterium. RNAcentral describes it as "contains 16S-23S intergenic spacer region". The record is from RNAcentral. Lineage: Bacteria; Pseudomonadati; Planctomycetota; Phycisphaerae; Phycisphaerales; Phycisphaeraceae.